UGGGGAAUAUUGGACAAUGGGCGAAAGCCUGAUCCAGCAAUGCCGCGUGAGUGAUGAAGGCCUUAGGGUUGUAAAGCUCUUUUACCCGGGAAGAUAAUGACUGUACCGGGAGAAUAAGCCCCGGCUAACUCCGUGCCAGCAGCCGCGGUAAUACGGAGGGGGCUAGCGUUGUUCGGAAUUACUGGGCGUAAAGCGCACGUAGGCGGUUUCUCAAGUCAGAGGUGAAAGCCCGGAGCUCAACUCCGGAAUAGCCUUUGAAACUAGGAAACUUGAACGUCGGAGAGGUGAGUGGAAUUCCGAGUGUAGAGGUGAAAUUCGUAGAUAUUCGGAAGAACACCAGUGGCGAAGGCGGCUCACUGGACGACUGUUGACGCUGAGGUGCGAAAGCGUGGGGAGCAAACA
This 402-nucleotide ribosomal RNA is filed under the name uncultured Sphingomonas sp. RNAcentral describes it as "bacterial SSU rRNA". It matches the Rfam family "Bacterial small subunit ribosomal RNA", at positions 355 to 774 of the family's 1533-position model. The record is from RNAcentral. Lineage: Bacteria; Pseudomonadati; Pseudomonadota; Alphaproteobacteria; Sphingomonadales; Sphingomonadaceae.